Molecule: long non-coding RNA, 954 nt
Organism: Prunus persica (peach)
Lineage: Eukaryota; Viridiplantae; Streptophyta; Magnoliopsida; Rosales; Rosaceae
Exons: 4
Source: RefSeq, a predicted model, not a curated record
UUUUUAUCUAUACAAUAGAGGAAGUCAAGAGGUUGUCACCCAAGAUAAAACUUACACUCAAUGAAGAGGUCAAACCAGGAAAGCCAGAUUCUGAAGCAGCAGUCAACACCGAAGACCAGUCAUCCAUUGUGGGAGCUGCAUACUAAUCUGCCCCCUUGUCUCUAGCUAUAUAAUGAAAAAUUGGAAAAAAAAAUUGGAAAAUGGAACUUGAUUGUCACAUGAGAUUCUGUCUGCUAGGAUGAUGCUAUCUAUGACAAAGUACACAUGCUGGAAGAAUUGGUUGAGUUUCCCUGCAUGCUGAAAUGGAGGGGGGCAGUGGCCUGUAAUGCACAUGCAAUCUGGAGAGUCACUACUCGUGAUAGGGUUAGGGUGUUAUGGUUAUUGGUUGUCUAGUUUUGCCAAGAGGAUCUCAUAGUGCUUGCUUGUUUGGGCGAAUUGAGUCAGUGGUAGUCCCACUGGAGCAGCUCAAGUCCUCUGAUUUUACUGAUCAACAAGAAUACUAUGCCUGUAAAAUGAAAUAAAGGAGCUUUUCUGGAAGGUGAUGCUGCCGUUGCCGUUGCUGAGGAGGUGAAGAAGAACAACCAUGUAGUAAGAAAGUUGGAGAAGCGUCAACAGAUUUGCACCCUUGACCAGCACAUUGAAGAGCAAUUUGGUGGUGGUCGUCUAUUGGCUUGUAUCUCAUCACGACCUGGACAGUGGCUGUGCUGAUGGGAUGGGAAAACAUUGGACAAUGAGUUGGAGGUUGUUGAGGGAAUGAAGCUAGACAGGGGCUACAUAUCCCCUUAUUUCAUCACCAACCAGAACAAUCAGAAAUGUGAAUUGGAAAAUCCUCUAAUCAUAAUCCAUGAGAAGAAAAUCUCAAGUAUUAAUGAUGUGGUUAAAGUUUUGGAGUUGGUUUUGCAGGUUAGCAUUUCUCUGGUUAGGUUCACUAGUUUCUUCGUUUUUACUAUGAAU